This 262-nucleotide ribosomal RNA is filed under the name uncultured bacterium. Its description in RNAcentral is "partial 16S ribosomal RNA". It matches the Rfam family "Bacterial small subunit ribosomal RNA", at positions 793 to 1055 of the family's 1533-position model. The record is from RNAcentral.
GUCCUAGCCGUAAACAAUGUGCACUUGGUGUAAGCCGGUUUUCGGUUUGUGCCGAAGUUAACGCGAUAAGUGCACCGCCUGGGGAGUACGGUCGCAAGUCUGAAACUCAAAGGAAUUGACGGGGGCCCGCACAAGCGGUGGAGCAUGUGGUUCAAUUCGAUGCAACGCGAAGAACCUUACCUGGGUUUGAACUGUUUUUGAAUAUUCCAGAGAUGGAAUAGGCUAGCAAUAGACAGAAACAGAGGUGCUGCAUGGCUGUCGU